RNAcentral lists this ribosomal RNA (497 nucleotides) under uncultured bacterium. RNAcentral's name for it is "partial 16S ribosomal RNA". It matches the Rfam family "Bacterial small subunit ribosomal RNA", at positions 28 to 507 of the family's 1533-position model. The record is from RNAcentral.
GACGAACGCUGGCGGCGUGCCUAAUACAUGCAAGUUGAGCGAUGAAGAUUGGUGCUUGCACCCAUUUGAAGAGCAGCGAACGGGUGAGUAACGCGUGGGGAAUCUGCCUUUGAGCGGGGGACAACAUUUGGAAACGAAUGCUAAUACCGCAUAAUAACUUUAAACAUAAGUUUUAAGUUUGAAAGAUGCAAUUGCAUCACUCAAAGAUGAUCCCGCGUUGUAUUAGCUAGUUGGUGAGGUAAAGGCUCACCAAGGCGAUGAUACAUAGCCGACCUGAGAGGGUGAUCGGCCAAAUUGGGACUGAGACACGGCCCAAACUCCUACGGGAGGCAGCAGUAGGGAAUCUUCGGCAAUAGACGAAAGUCUGACCGAGCAACGCCGCGUGAGUGAAGAAGGUUUUCGGAUCGUAAAACUCUGUUGGUAGAGAAGAACGUUGGUGAGAGUGGAAAGCUCAUAAAGUGACGGUAACUACCCAGAAAGGGACGGCUAACUACGUG